UCUAGCAAUUUCUUUAAGUUCUCCAGAUGAUUUGAUUGUGGCCCAUGACAUGUCUAAGGAGCUACUGGAUGUCACUGGAUUUAUUGGACCGGAGAGUAACAAGCCAUUAGAAAUAUCUGAAUCGUGCCCCAUCAUAAACCAGUCAACAAGCACUGCUAUAAGUUCAUGCAUACUGAAACUGAUUGAAGCCGUUAUCAAUGAUAUGGAUUGGACCAUCAAAAAAUUAAAGACAUUCUUUUUGAUUGAACAGAGAUACAUUCAUGUUAGUCAGAGUGGAGAACAUGCUCCAGGAUUGACCGUUGAGGAUAAUCUUUACUUGAGGGCUGAAGCAGUGGUGAAAGUAUUAUCUUUCUUUGUUUUGAUGAACCUAAAGGGUAAGUAAGCAAUUUGUACUAAAACUAAUCUAUCACAUUUAUUUCUCUAUUUAUGUAAUUCAUCCUUAAAUACAUACGUAAACAGACCCUCAAGCAGAGCAUCUAUUAAGAUUGAUUGCGAAGUUUUACAAGCAUUUGGCUCAGAUUUCAAGGCUUAGGAUUGCUACUAAGGGAUGCAAGCAACUUCUACCUACUCCAACUUUCCAGAGGCUUGUAGAAGUAACCUGCAAGAAGCUUACAGUUCCUCUUUAUAAAUUCGUUGCGGAGAUUCAAAGGGUAUUGUCCUUAAUUUUAUGACGAAUUUCUUCUGUCUAUCAUCUCUUUGAACAGAAAUGACACUGCAUUAUAUGUUUAUCUUUCAAAAUCAUUUUCAUGGAUUCUAUUAGACGGGACUUGCAGGUACAACAAGAAAAGCCUAAUACUAAGGGUAUCAUUAACAAGAUUAAAAGGGAGAAUAAAUGCAUACCUGAGCUGAUCUUCCAAAUAGAAGAUUAUGAGAAGUAUCUCAUCCGGCUCAGCAAGGCAAGUAAAGUCAAUUUACUGAAGCAUGCCAAGCGUAGCACUUCCAGGGAUUUCAGAAUAUU
RNAcentral lists this long non-coding RNA (958 nucleotides) under Ricinus communis (castor bean). RNAcentral's name for it is "long non-coding RNA (RCOM_LNC000819)". Lineage: Eukaryota; Viridiplantae; Streptophyta; Magnoliopsida; Malpighiales; Euphorbiaceae. The record is from RNAcentral.